Molecule: long non-coding RNA, 557 nt
Filed under: Pan troglodytes (chimpanzee)
Lineage: Eukaryota; Metazoa; Chordata; Mammalia; Primates; Hominidae
Description: lincRNA
Rfam family: mir-22 microRNA precursor family (bases 229-312)
Source: RNAcentral
GAUCGGAGCCUGGAGCCGGUGUGUGCUGGGUGCCGAGAAGAGACAGCGCCGCCGGCCGUGGGGAGCGGACGCAGUGAUUUGCUCCCCCUCGUGCAGCAACCCCCACACCCAGCACCAGGCCCCCAGAACUCUCCUUCCAGCUGAACUCCCUGGGAACAAGUCAGUUGGGCUGAUCACUGAACUCACAUUUCUGGACCUGAGGAGCCUGUUCCUCUCACGCCCUCACCUGGCUGAGCCGCAGUAGUUCUUCAGUGGCAAGCUUUAUGUCCUGACCCAGCUAAAGCUGCCAGUUGAAGAACUGUUGCCCUCUGCCCCUGGCUUCGAGGAGGAGGAGGAGCUGCUUUCCCCAUCAUCUGGAAGGUGACAGAAAUGGGCUGGGAAGGUCCGGACAGCAGGGUGGAUGAUAACAUUUUGGGCAAGUUGGAGAGCCUUUGCCCAGAUUGGCCCGGCAAGGAGCGGUUUUAGAUUAGAGACACUGGCUGGAUUGAGGAGUAGAAGGCUCAAACAACCCAAGCCCUGAUCCAUUCUCACCUAGCGGCUACAGGAAGCUGUGUCUG